Molecule: ribosomal RNA, 400 nt
Filed under: uncultured bacterium
Lineage: Bacteria
Description: bacterial SSU rRNA
Rfam family: Bacterial small subunit ribosomal RNA
Source: RNAcentral
UGAGGAAUAUUGGACAAUGGGUGAGAGCCUGAUCCAGCCAUCCCGCGUGAAGGAUGACGGUCCUAUGGAUUGUAAACUUCUUUUAUAUGGGGAUAAACCUACUUACGUGUAAGUAGCUGAAGGUACCAUAUGAAUAAGCACCGGCUAACUCCGUGCCAGCAGCCGCGGUAAUACGGAGGGUGCGAGCGUUAUCCGGAUUUAUUGGGUUUAAAGGGUCCGCAGGCGGGCUUGUAAGUCAGCGGUGAAAUCUCAUGGCUCAACCAUGAAACUGCCGUUGAUACUGCGGGUCUUGAGUAAGGUUGAAGUGGCCGGAAUGAGUAGUGUAGCGGUGAAAUGCAUAGAUAUUACUCAGAACACCGAUUGCGAAGGCAGGUCACUAAGUCUUAACUGACGCUGAGGG